This 462-nucleotide ribosomal RNA is filed under the name uncultured Rhodocyclaceae bacterium. RNAcentral's name for it is "bacterial SSU rRNA". It matches the Rfam family "Bacterial small subunit ribosomal RNA", at positions 919 to 1382 of the family's 1533-position model. The record is from RNAcentral. Lineage: Bacteria; Pseudomonadati; Pseudomonadota; Betaproteobacteria; Rhodocyclales; Rhodocyclaceae.
ACCCGCACAAGCGGUGGAUGAUGUGGAUUAAUCGAUGCAACGCGAAAACCUUACCUACCCUUGACAUGUCCGGAAUCCCGAAGAGAUUUGGGAGUGCUCGCAAGAGAGCCGGAACACAGGUGCUGCAUGGCUGUCGUCAGCUCGUGUCGUGAGAUGUUGGGUUAAGUCCCGCAACGAGCGCAACCCUUGUCAUUAGUUGCCAUCAUUUGGUUGGGCACUCUAAUGAGACUGCCGGUGACAAACCGGAGGAAGGUGGGGAUGACGUCAAGUCCUCAUGGCCCUUAUGGGUAGGGCUUCACACGUCAUACAAUGGUCGGUACAGAGGGUUGCCAACCCGCGAGGGGGAGCUAAUCCCACAAAGCCGAUCGUAGUCCGGAUCGCAGUCUGCAACUCGACUGCGUGAAGUCGGAAUCGCUAGUAAUCGUGGAUCAGCAUGUCACGGUGAAUACGUUCCCGGGUCUU